Molecule: ribosomal RNA, 407 nt
Filed under: uncultured bacterium
Lineage: Bacteria
Description: partial 16S ribosomal RNA
Rfam family: Bacterial small subunit ribosomal RNA
Source: RNAcentral
AUUGAACGCUAGCGGGAUGCCUUACACAUGCAAGUCGAACGGAGUGGCGAACGGGUGAGUAAUGUAUCGGGACGUGCCCAGUAGCGGGGGAUACCUACGCGAAAGCGUAGCUAAUACCGCAUACUAUUGGAGCGGCCGAUUUCGGAUUAGCUAGUUGGUGGGGUAACGGCUCACCAAGGCGACGAUCCGUAGCUGGUUUGCGAGUACGACCAGCCAAACUGGGACUGGGACACGGCCCAGACUCCUACGUGAGGCAGCAGUGGGGAAUUUUGGACAAUGGGGGAAACCCUGAUCCAGCCAUCCCGCUUGUGCGAUGAAGGCCUUCUGGUUGUAAAGCACUUUUGGCAGGAAAGCGGUACCUGCAGAAUAAGCACCGUCUAACUACGUGCCAGCAGCCGCGGUAAUAC